This 62-nucleotide transfer RNA is filed under the name Rhinonicteris aurantia (Orange leaf-nosed bat). RNAcentral's name for it is "partial tRNA-Pro". The record is from RNAcentral. Lineage: Eukaryota; Metazoa; Chordata; Mammalia; Chiroptera; Rhinonycteridae.
GGAGAGAGGCUCAAUCCUGCCCUCAACACCCAAAGCUGAAAUUUUACUUAAACUACUCCUUG